GGGAAGUUAGACAUUCGUUCAGAAAGGCCGGUAUCAACCACCAUUAUUGACCAAGCAAUACUUGGACCAAGAGCAAUGCUGCGCACUGGGAGUGACACCUCAUUUCAAGGAACUCAUACAUUGGGGUCCCAAAGAAAUAACAAUUCUCUGUGGAAUCAGAGAGAAGGUCUUGCAUCAUCAAGCUUCUGAGUCGGGAAAGAUCUGAGGCUAGCCCCAGAAGGUCAGUAUCUGAGUUUACCUGAGAAGAAAUAUCUUGGACCAAGAUUAAGUCUCAUCAACAGUAAAGGAAUGCGCAAAACCACAAGGUAGAGUGACAAAGCCACAAUACAAUGAGUUCAAACUAUGUCUUUGGCUCUUGCAAUUAUGAAAAUUUA
Molecule: long non-coding RNA, 374 nt
Organism: Chinchilla lanigera (long-tailed chinchilla)
Lineage: Eukaryota; Metazoa; Chordata; Mammalia; Rodentia; Chinchillidae
Source: Ensembl